GGGGACGUUUUGGAUUCGACAGGGGUCCCCAGAGCUUAUUAAGCGUGUCGGAGGGUUGUCUUCGUUAUCAACACACUCAGUUUAUAAUAACUGGCAAAACAAACAAUAAUUUAGCAGUAGCUGCGUAAUAGCACUCUGCAUCGCCUAACAGUAUCGCCUAUGUACUGUUAACGCGAUUCAACUUUAGUAGGAUACGCUAGACACUGCUGUUCGAAGUCUGUCUAGAAGAGAUUAAGCGGACUAGCAUGGUGUUGGUUGUCUAUUUCCUAUCAUCAUGUGAAAUUGAUUAAUAGACUACACACGUAGAAAGAUUUGUAUCAGGAUCCUUGGACGCGGGUUCAAAUCCCGCCGUCUCCAUAC
This is a non-coding RNA of Staphylococcus carnosus subsp. carnosus TM300, 360 nucleotides long. NCBI's taxonomy places the organism in Bacteria, Bacillati, Bacillota, Bacilli, Caryophanales, Staphylococcaceae. The record is from Rfam.